This 1507-nucleotide ribosomal RNA is filed under the name metagenome. Its description in RNAcentral is "bacterial LSU rRNA". It matches the Rfam family "Bacterial large subunit ribosomal RNA", at positions 1277 to 2912 of the family's 2925-position model. The record is from RNAcentral.
CUAGAUCAGAAGCGAGAAUGUUGACAUGAGUAGCGACAAACAGGGUGAGAAACCCUGUCGCCGAAAGUCCAAGGGUUCCUGCUUAAAGCUAAUCUGAGCAGGGUAAGCCGGCCCCUAAGGCGAGACCGAAAGGCGUAGUCGAUGGGAACCAGGUUAAUAUACCUGGGCCAGUGGGAUGUGACGGAUCGCAGAUGUAGUUUGCCCUUAUCGGAUUGGGUGGGCUGCUGAGCGGUUCCAGGAAAUAGCCCCACAUCAGACCGUACCCUAAACCGACACAGGUGGACUGGUAGAGUAUACCAAGGCGCUUGAGAGAACCACGUUAAAGGAACUCGGCAAAAUGCCUCCGUAAGUUCGCGAGAAGGAGGCCCCAUAUGUACGCAAGUAUGUGUGGGGGGCACAAACUAGGGGGUGGCGACUGUUUAUUUAAAACACAGGGCUGUGCGAAGCCGUAAGGCGACGUAUACAGUCUGACGCCUGCCCGGUGCUGGAAGAUUAAGAGGAGGGGUGCAAGCUCUGAAUUGAAGUCCCAGUAAACGGCGGCCGUAACAAUAACGGUCCUAAGGUAGCGAAAUUCCUUGUCGGGUAAGUUCCGACCUGCACGAAUGGCGUAACGAUCUCCCCGCUGUCUCUAACGUGGACUCAGCGAAAUUGAACUGUGUGUCAAGAUGCACACUACCCGCGGUUAGACGGAAAGACCCCAUGAACCUUUACUCCAGCUUUGCACUGGUAUCAGGAUUGUGAUGUGCAGGAUAGGUGGUAGGCAUUGAAGCGGGGACGCCAGUCUUCGUGGAGCCUCCCUUGAGAUACCACCCUUCGCCAUCUUGAUAUCUAACCGCGGCCCGUUAUCCGGGUCCGGGACCCUGCAUGGUGGGGAGUUUGACUGGGGCGGUCGCCUCCCAAACAGUAACGGAGGCGCGCGAUGGUUGGCUCAGACCGGUCGGAAAUCGGUCGUUGAGUGCAAUGGCAGAAGCCAGCCUGACUGCAGGACUGACAAGUCGAGCAGAGACGAAAGUCGGUCAUAGUGAUCCGGUGGUCCCAAGUGGGAGGGCCAUCGCUCAACGGAUAAAAGGUACUCUGGGGAUAACAGGCUGAUGAUGCCCAAGAGUCCAUAUCGACGGCAUCGUUUGGCACCUCGAUGUCGGCUCAUCUCAUCCUGGGGCUGGAGCAGGUCCCAAGGGUAUGGCUGUUCGCCAUUUAAAGAGGUACGUGAGCUGGGUUUAGAACGUCGUGAGACAGUUCGGUCCCUAUCUGCCGUGGGUGCAGGAGACUUGAGAAGAGUUGACCCUAGUACGAGAGGACCGGGUUGAACGAACCACUGGUGGACCAGUUAUCGUGCCAACGGUAGUGCUGGGUAGCUAUGUUCGGACAGGAUAACCGCUGAAGGCAUCUAAGCGGGAAGCCCCCUUCAAAACAAGGUCUCCCUUGAGGGCCGUGGAAGACGACCACGUCGAUAGGCCAGAGGUGUAAGUGCAGCAAUGCAUUCAGCUGACUGGUACUAAUUGCCUAA